UGGGGAAUUUUGGACAAUGGGGGAAACCCUGAUCCAGCCAUCCCGCGUGUGCGAUGAAGGCCUUCGGGUUGUAAAGCACUUUUGGCCGGAAAGAAACGUCAUGGGUUAAUACCCCGUGAAACUGACGGUACCUGCAGAAUAAGCACCGGCUAACUACGUGCCAGCAGCCGCGGUAAUACGUAGGGUGCAAGCGUUAAUCGGAAUUACUGGGCGUAAAGCGUGCGCAGGCGGUUCGGAAAGAAAGAUGUGAAAUCCCAGAGCUCAACUUUGGAACUGCAUUUUUAACUACCGGGCUAGAGUGUGUCAGAGGGAGGUGGAAUUCCGAGUGUAGCAGUGAAAUGCGUAGAUAUGCGGAGGAACACCGAUGGAGAAGGCAGCCUCCUGGGAUAACACUGACGCUCAUGCACGAAAGCGUGGGGAGCAAACAGG
This 429-nucleotide ribosomal RNA is filed under the name Acidobacteriota bacterium. Its description in RNAcentral is "Acidobacteria bacterium partial 16S ribosomal RNA". It matches the Rfam family "Bacterial small subunit ribosomal RNA", at positions 355 to 776 of the family's 1533-position model. The record is from RNAcentral. Lineage: Bacteria; Pseudomonadati; Acidobacteriota.